This 439-nucleotide ribosomal RNA is filed under the name uncultured Anaerolineaceae bacterium. Its description in RNAcentral is "bacterial SSU rRNA". It matches the Rfam family "Bacterial small subunit ribosomal RNA", at positions 926 to 1382 of the family's 1533-position model. The record is from RNAcentral. Lineage: Bacteria; Bacillati; Chloroflexota; Anaerolineae; Anaerolineales; Anaerolineaceae.
CAAGCGGUGGAGCAUGUGGUUAAUUCGAUGAUACGCGUAGGAACCUUACCAGGGCUUAAAUGUAGGUUGCAUUAGACAGAGAUGUUAUUUCUUCGGACUACUUACAAGGUGCUGCAUGGUUGUCGUCAGCUCGUGCCGUGAGGUGUUAGGUUAAGUCCUGUAACGAGCGCAACCCCUGCCGUUAGUUACAUGUGUCUAACGGGACUGCCCGGCUCAACUGGGAGGAAGGUGGGGACGACGUCAAGUCAGCAUGGCCUUUAUAUCCUGGGCUACACACACGCUACAAUGGUCGGUACAAUGGGUCGCCAAGCCGCGAGGCGGAGCCAAUCCUGCAAAACCGGCCUCAGUUCAGAUUGUAGGCUGCAACUCGCCUGCAUGAAGUUGGAGUUGCUAGUAACCGCGCGUCAGCUAUAGUGCGGUGAAUACGUUCCCGGGGCUU